GUCAGAAACAGCUGGGACUCAUUGUGAUGUAAACAGACCUCAACCAGGGCCGGAUGAUAGAAAGUCCUCUAUCGUGCCAACAGAACCCAAUUCUGACAAUGCCAAUAACUUGACAUUGGUCGAUUGGGAAUAUGUCGUUAUGGGAGACUUUCACCAGGCCUCUGAUAACAUGUCUUAUGACCAGUUUACUGGUUCACAGUGCAGUUCCAUGUGUGUGAUGGCGAUAGUGUUUGCUCUUCUCGAAGCACCCGAUGAGUGGACUAAAUCAACAAUUCACGAAAUACUUAUUCAGGGGAACCAGGCACAUGAAA
Long non-coding RNA from Lineus longissimus, 311 nucleotides. RefSeq lists it as uncharacterized. The record is from RefSeq and is a predicted model, not a curated record. The transcript is spliced from 3 exons. Lineage: Eukaryota; Metazoa; Nemertea; Pilidiophora; Heteronemertea; Lineidae.